AGUGUUGAAAUCCACACCUUACUCGCCUAUCUCUAAGAUGUCCCUCGGGACUAUGAACAUAAACGCGCUCGCAAUAAGCGGAUCGGACCCGGGGGCGGUAC
Molecule: transfer-messenger RNA, 101 nt
Filed under: Octadecabacter sp.
Lineage: Bacteria; Pseudomonadati; Pseudomonadota; Alphaproteobacteria; Rhodobacterales; Roseobacteraceae
Description: partial transfer-messenger RNA
Rfam family: Alphaproteobacteria transfer-messenger RNA
About the family: Bacterial tmRNA, also known as 10Sa RNA or SsrA, is named for its dual tRNA and mRNA-like properties. Its role is to liberate the mRNA from a stalled ribosome.
Source: RNAcentral